CCUGACUGUGAUGACUCACUUGCCCUAUCUGAGAGAAACUGUUAUGAAACAAUCUUAAAUCCUCAUUUUAUUCUGAGUCAGU
This is a small nucleolar RNA of Silurus meridionalis, 82 nucleotides long. RefSeq annotates it as small nucleolar RNA SNORD103/SNORD85. The transcript has a single exon. The record is from RefSeq and is a predicted model, not a curated record. NCBI's taxonomy places the organism in Eukaryota, Metazoa, Chordata, Actinopteri, Siluriformes, Siluridae.